AAACCCCUUUGAUUUGUUAAAACACCUUGCGGUCUGGCAACUGCAAGUGUCAAACAAGAAAUCAAAAG
This 68-nucleotide small RNA is filed under the name Escherichia coli. RNAcentral's name for it is "Hfq binding sRNA". It matches the Rfam family "STnc490 Hfq binding RNA", at positions 57 to 124 of the family's 124-position model. Lineage: Bacteria; Pseudomonadati; Pseudomonadota; Gammaproteobacteria; Enterobacterales; Enterobacteriaceae. The record is from RNAcentral.